GGAUAGCUCUGUUGGUUAGAACGUGGUGCUGAUAACGCCAAGGUUGCAGGUACAAACCCCGUAAGGGACA
Podarcis lilfordi (Lilford's wall lizard) is the source of this 70-nucleotide non-coding RNA. NCBI's taxonomy places the organism in Eukaryota, Metazoa, Chordata, Lepidosauria, Squamata, Lacertidae. The record is from the annotation of a GenBank genome assembly.